AUUUAUUUUGCCAAGCGCAAGGCCGUCUUUCACUGCAUCUCUGUAAAACAUCAACCGGACUCCAUCCGACGGCAAGAUUCAGCCAUUAUUUCAAACCUACGAUGGCAGAUCACCGCAGCAUCGUAAUGUAGUCAACUUACCGCAGGCAACAAUCCACAGGUCGCUGAACCAGUCGUUCCCUCGUAUUCAGCUCCCCAGUAUGCUUACCCUCCAUCUAACGGUUGUGAAUCCAGUUUUUAUGAGAGCCACCAGUUCCCAGAGAACGGCCUGAACCCGAUCUUCUAUGACGAGAUCUACGAGGCAUGCCCGCCUGACCUCUGCGCUGAAAACUCUUACAACCCGUACAAUUCCAGUCUGUGCAGCCCCCCAGUCAAUUACCAGACACCAGCCCACUACAAUCACUCAGCUGUGAUUUCAGGAUCUCCUGCAUAUGCUUCAGUGGAUUAUGAAUAUUCUAGCCAGCAUGUUGCAUUGUCUGCCCAAGACUUCUGUCCAUCUUCACACUUGGAACCCAAGUCCUUUUAUCCAGCUUCUGAAGAGUAUUUCACUCACCAACACUACAGCUGCACAUCAGCCAUCUGUUCUAUAUUUUCCUACGUGCCAGACAACAUGGAAAUGGGCCCUGUGUCUGAAAACGGGUCCUUUCCAGAGUACAAAGACUAUUCAACUGGAUUGCUCACAGAGGAUAUUUGGAGAGGAAAUCUAAAUGAAUGUUUGGACUAUUGAAAUAAUUCUAGAGCAUGCUUUGAGAACAUAUUUUCUUCCUCAUACACCUGUAAAAAAAAAAAAUUUGAUUGUUUGAAUGAGCAUAGUUUCUCUUCACCAAUGUUGUAAAGCCAGCAAGGAAAGAUGUCCAAAUCCAGAACACUCGGAUCACUACAGCUCUCACUUUUUUCAUUAAUUUUCUCUGGAUUUUUUCCCCUUUCUAUCCAAUUAUAAUGCGUUUUUGCUGGGCUUAGUACCAUGUGCUAGUCACUCUAUAUGCCAUGCUUAUGGUUUACUCACUAUGUGUGUUUUUGUUAGACUGAACUUGCUUGGAUAUAUGGUCAUUACCAAUACCUACAUACAGAUUGGGGGGUGGGGAGGUGAAAUAGCUGAAUAUUUUUCUGAAGUAUCUGAUGUUACAUCAAGGGCACUGAGAUGAGGAGUAAGGUCUACUCUGCUGAGAAUAGAACCUGGGCUUUUUGGCCUACAUCUUUACUAAUCACUAGAUAAACACACACAAAGUGCUGGAGAAACUCAGCAGGUCAGGCACCAUCUGAACCAGAAUCCAAACAGAAUUUGGUUAAAUCUAGAUCAAAAAGCCAUAAGAUAUAGAAACAGAAUUAAGACAUUUGGCCCAUCGUGUCUGCUCUACCAUUUCAUCAUGGCUGAUCUAUUUUUCCUCCCAGCCCCAAUCUCCUGGCUCCCCUCACCCCACUUAUCCCUUCAUGCCCUGGCCAAUCAAACAUCUAUCAACCUCUGCCUUAAAUAUACAUUAAGAAUUGGCUUCCACAGCUGCCUGUGGUAAAGGAUUCCACAGAUUCAACACCCUUUGGCUAAAUAAAUUUCUCCUCAUCUUCAUUCUAAAAGGACAGCCCUCUAUUCUGAGGCUGUGUCCACUGAUUUUAGAUCCUCCCACCAUAGGAACCAUCCUCUCCAUAUCCACUCUAUCAAGACCUUUCACCAUUCAAUAGAUUUCAAUGAGGUGACCCCUCAUUCUUCUGAAUUCCAGUGAGUACAGGCCCAGAGCCAUCAAGCAGGGAGCUAAGCACACAGCCUUAUGGUGAACCUGUGCUGAUGGAGAUUGUAGAGGAGAUGUUGUUGCCAAUCUGAACUGACUGGGGUCUGCAAGUGAGGAAAUCCAGGAUCCAGUUGUACAAGGAGGUAUUGAGGCCCAGGUCUUGGAGCGUAAUGACUAGUUCUGAGGGGAUGAUAGUAUUGAAUGCUGAGCUGCAGUCAAUGAAGAGUGGCCUGAUGCUAUAGUUACAUUCAUUAGUGAAUUAAGACUGCAAUUUGCUACAAAUUGAUUUCCAAUGGCCAUAUGUGAGUAGAGGAGAACAGAUUGGUCGACGCAACCUUAGUACACUCCUCUGGAUUGCUUCAUUUGUAUCAUUUACUACUAUCUGUAGGUCAGUAGGCUUGAUAUUCUUUUCCUACGAUUUUACCUUUACAAUCUUUGUUCAGAUCUGGUCAAACUCAUGAGUUAUUCAAUUGAACAAUGACAACUAACACAAACUGCACAUCAGGUUGGAAACUGAAUCGUUGGGAAUGAGUGGGAAGGAAAGAGGAAUGAUGUAUUCCUGUUGAUGCUUGCGCAGUUAACCAAAUUUUCAUUGGUGAAGGGCUGCUUUCUUGCAACCAACUCCUUUGACACACUUCACAAUUUCAGCUUUAUUAGAAGUGGUGUAUUUCUGUUUCUGGUGAGCUGGUGAGUGCUUAGUUGUUUAAUCUCACACGCUGGGGCAAUAUGUCAAUAUGGGAAUAGUUUUUGUUCAGAUGAAUCAGAACUUUAGUUUUCCAUUUGACUAUGCAUUUUAAAUGCCUAGAUUGUCUUUUUCUUUGUAGUUCAUAUGUUGUAGUGUCUCCUGGAAAUGAAAUUCUUAUGCUUCUGUAGAACAGAAAUACCACUGAACCAUUAUUUUGAUGUUUUGAAAAUAAACAUUUUUUAUGAA
RNA transcript from Mobula hypostoma (lesser devil ray), 2654 nucleotides. RefSeq lists it as uncharacterized. The record is from RefSeq and is a predicted model, not a curated record. The transcript is spliced from 4 exons. Lineage: Eukaryota; Metazoa; Chordata; Chondrichthyes; Myliobatiformes; Myliobatidae.